GUGCAAUGCUCAUGGAUAACUGUGGUAAUUCUAGAGCUAAUACAUGCGUUCAAGCCCCGACUUCUGGAAGGGGUGUAUUUAUUAGAUAAAAAACCAACGCGCUCAAACCGCUCGUUCGGUGAUUCAAUGAUAACUUCUCGAAUCGCAAGGCCUCGCGCCGGCGAUGCUUCAUUCAAAUAUCUGCCCUAUCAACUUUCGAUGGUAAGGAUAGAGGCCUACCAUGGUUUUGACGGGUAACGGGGAAUGGGUUCGAUUCCGGAGAGGGAGCCUGGAAACGGCUACCACAUCCAAGGAAGGCAGCAGGCGCGCAAAUUACCCAAUGCCGACACGGCGAGGUAGUGACAAUAAAUAACAAUGUAGGGCCCUUUCGGGUCUUACAAUUGGAAUGAGUACAAUCUAAACCCCUUAACGAGGAACGAUUGGAGGGCAAGUCUGGUGCCAGCAGCCGCGGUAAUUCCAGCUCCAAUAGCGUAUAUUAAAGUUGCUGCCGUUAAAACGCUCGUAGUUGAACUUCAGGCCCUGGUCGGGUGGUCCGCCAUACCCGGCGUCCAUCGUCCGGCCGGGCCUUACCUCCAGGUGAUCCGGCGUGCCCUUAGCUGGGUGCGUCGGGGAACCGGGACCUUUACCUUGAGAAAAUUAGAGUGUUCAAAGCAGGCCUGUGCCCGAAUACAUUAGCAUGGAAUAACGAAAUAGGACGUGCGGUUCUAUUUUGUUGGUUUCUAGUAACCGCCGUAAUGAUUGAUAGGGACAGUCGGGGGCGUUAGUAUUCGGCCGUCAGAGGUGAAAUUCUCGGAUCGUCGAAGACUGACUACUGCGAAAGCAUUCGCCAAGGAGUUUUCAUUAAUCAAGAACGAAGGUCAGGGGAUCGAAAACGAUCAGAUACCGUUGUAGUCCUGACAGUAAACGAUGCCGACUAGGGAUCGGGCGACCACAACCAAAACGCGUCGCCCGGCACCUUACGAGAAAUCAAAGUCUUUGGGUUCUGGGGGGAGUAUGGUCGCAAGGCUGAAACUUAAAGGAAUUGACGGAAGGGCACCACCAGGUGUGGAGCCUGCGGCUUAAUUUGACUCAACACGGGGAAACUCACCAGGUCCAGACAUGAGCAGGAUUGACAGAUUGAAGUUCUUUCAUGAUUUUAUGGGUGGUGGUGCAUGGCCGUUCUUAGUUCGUGGAUCGAUUUGUCUGGUUAAUUCCGAUAACGAACGAGACCUUACCCUGCUUAGUAGCGUGGCCGGCCUCNGCNGUCCCAUCGCUUCUUAGAGGUACCGACCGCUUCCAGCNCCGGGAGUGAGGCAAUAACAGGUCUGUGAUGCCCCUUAGAUGUUCUGGGCCGCAGGCGCGCUACACUGACAGAGCCAGCGAGUGAGCUUACGCCCUUGGCCGCCAAGGUUUGGGUAAUCUUGUGAAACUCUCGUGCUGGGGAUAGAGCACUGCAACUGCGCUCUUCAACGAGGAAUACCUAGUAGCGCGAGUCAUCAGCUCGCGUCGAUUACGUCCCUGCCCUUUGUACACACCGCCCGUCGCUACUACCGAUUGAACGGCUUAGUGAGGUCUCGGGAUGACUUCGGGGAGCCGGCAACGGCACCCCGUCGGCGAGAACUCGACCAAACUUGGUCGA
RNAcentral lists this ribosomal RNA (1618 nucleotides) under Wolfiporia cocos. RNAcentral describes it as "SSU rRNA". It matches the Rfam family "Eukaryotic small subunit ribosomal RNA", at positions 128 to 1772 of the family's 1831-position model. Lineage: Eukaryota; Fungi; Basidiomycota; Agaricomycetes; Polyporales; Phaeolaceae. The record is from RNAcentral.